Molecule: unclassified non-coding RNA, 308 nt
Filed under: plant metagenome
Description: partial contains 5.8S ribosomal RNA, internal transcribed spacer 2, and large subunit ribosomal RNA
Rfam family: 5.8S ribosomal RNA (bases 1-105)
Source: RNAcentral
GAAAUGCGAUAAGUAGUGUGAAUUGCAUAAUUCAGUGAAUCAUCGAAUCUUUGAACGCACAUUGCGCCCUUUGGUAUUCCAAAGGGCAUGCCUGUUCGAGCGUCAUUUGUACCCUCAAGCUUUGCUUGGUGUUGGGCGUCUUGUCUCUAGCUUUGCUGGAGACUCGCCUUAAAGUAAUUGGCAGCCGGCCUACUGGUUUCGGAGCGCAGCACAAGUCGCACUCUCUAUCAGCAAAGGUCUAGCAUCCAUUAAGCCUUUUUUUCAACUUUUGACCUCGGAUCAGGUAGGGAUACCCGCUGAACUUAAGC